CACAUUUUCACAGUAUUUAUAAAAACCACUUCCCACUGCAGACAGAACUUUUGUCAUCUAAUGGGCGAUUUCUUUGUGGAACAUGCCGAUGAGCCAGCAAUGUACCGUUGUUGGCAAUGUACUGUUGUUUGUACGGAAUUUUGUAAUUUCAGGCAUGUUGCAUUAGACUAGGAUCCCCUCCCCUUUAUUAUGUUUUUAUAACUUAGAAAUUUUAAACAGUCAUGUAUUUUCCGUUCCCUUACGUAAUACCAUAAAUCUGAAGUGACUGACAUGAAAAAUCAGUGAUUAUUUCAGUAACAUGUUUGAUUUGUGCCAUUGCUAAUGAAUAAUAGAUGCUGGAGGGUCAAUAUAAAAAAACCGGUCAAUUCGAAAAAUCAUAAAAGGAUGAAUAAUUUGUAAAAUAUUAGCUACAAAAUGAAAAUUAUGAUCUUCAUUACAAGCACAUAAACUUUUAUUUAGGAAUUUUUAGUCCUCAAUACUCUUCAAAUCGUACUUUAUUUAACCUUUUUAACUUUCUUUGUUUCAAGCGUCACUGAUGAGUCUUUUGUAGACAAAACGCGCGUCUGGCGCAAAUACAAAAUUUUAAUCCUGGUAAUCUAUGAGUUUUUUUUAUUGUAUUUUUUCUUUUGAUCUUGAUAAUACUUACUUUAUUUAACGUAAGUUGUAUACUAAUUUAGUUUGUUUAUUGACUCCUUAUGUACUAUUUCACCCCUAAUAGAUAAGAUCUGUCAAGUGAAAUGUCUUUUGACACCAAGUAUACCACGUUCGGCAUAUAUUCAUUCAUUAAUUUCUUUUUAACAAUCAUGACAAUGCUAUACACAUGUUUUAUGUUUAUAUUAUGUUAAUGUUAUAGUUUAAUAAAUAUUUUAGUUUUGAUAU
Molecule: long non-coding RNA, 879 nt
Filed under: Mytilus galloprovincialis (Mediterranean mussel)
Lineage: Eukaryota; Metazoa; Mollusca; Bivalvia; Mytilida; Mytilidae
Source: RNAcentral